This 71-nucleotide transfer RNA is filed under the name Chloroflexota bacterium. Its description in RNAcentral is "Chloroflexi bacterium tRNA-Gln". It matches the Rfam family "tRNA". From Rfam's summary of the family: Transfer RNA (tRNA) molecules are approximately 80 nucleotides in length. Their secondary structure includes four short double-helical elements and three loops (D, anti-codon, and T loops). Further hydrogen bonds mediate the characteristic L-shaped molecular structure. tRNAs have two regions of fundamental functional importance: the anti-codon, which is responsible for specific mRNA codon recognition, and the 3' end, to which the tRNAs corresponding amino acid is attached (by aminoacyl-tRNA synthetases). tRNAs cope with the degeneracy of the genetic code in two manners: having more than one tRNA (with a specific anti-codon) for a particular amino acid; and 'wobble' base-pairing, i.e. permitting non-standard base-pairing at the 3rd anti-codon position. RNAcentral also lists the same sequence under 4 other names. The record is from RNAcentral. Lineage: Bacteria; Bacillati; Chloroflexota.
UGGGGAAUCGUACAACGGCAGUACACGUCCCUCUGGAGGAUGGUAUCUUGGUUCGAAUCCAGGUUCCCCAG